CCUGGACACAAACAAUGUAUAACCUGUACUGCAAAAAAAUCAUAUCUUUUCACCUAUCCAUUAAAACAAGAUGGUAGGAAUACAGCAGCGAAUGCCAGACAAAAGUCUAACAUUGAUCCUUUACUAGUGGCACUAAUUUGUGGUGGAUUUGCAGCUGUAGCAGGAAUUCUAAUAGGUGUCGUGCUGAUGAAGAAAAAAAUAAAAAAACUGAUGAAAUAUUUUCGGACUGGUUCGUAUGGUUCUGUUUCCAUGACAAUCGUUACAACCAAUCAGUGCCC
Long non-coding RNA from Saccostrea cuccullata (small rock oyster), 278 nucleotides. RefSeq lists it as uncharacterized. The record is from RefSeq and is a predicted model, not a curated record. The transcript is spliced from 3 exons. Lineage: Eukaryota; Metazoa; Mollusca; Bivalvia; Ostreida; Ostreidae.